RNAcentral lists this transfer RNA (84 nucleotides) under Planctomycetaceae bacterium. Its description in RNAcentral is "tRNA-Ser". It matches the Rfam family "tRNA". Rfam says of the family: Transfer RNA (tRNA) molecules are approximately 80 nucleotides in length. Their secondary structure includes four short double-helical elements and three loops (D, anti-codon, and T loops). Further hydrogen bonds mediate the characteristic L-shaped molecular structure. tRNAs have two regions of fundamental functional importance: the anti-codon, which is responsible for specific mRNA codon recognition, and the 3' end, to which the tRNAs corresponding amino acid is attached (by aminoacyl-tRNA synthetases). tRNAs cope with the degeneracy of the genetic code in two manners: having more than one tRNA (with a specific anti-codon) for a particular amino acid; and 'wobble' base-pairing, i.e. permitting non-standard base-pairing at the 3rd anti-codon position. Lineage: Bacteria; Pseudomonadati; Planctomycetota; Planctomycetia; Planctomycetales; Planctomycetaceae. The record is from RNAcentral.
GGAGGGUAAGCGAAUGGCUAGCGGUCUCACUGGAAAUGAGAUGCCCCUUGACCGGGGUUGCGGGUUCGACUCCCGUGCCCUCCG